RNAcentral lists this ribosomal RNA (465 nucleotides) under uncultured bacterium. RNAcentral describes it as "bacterial SSU rRNA". It matches the Rfam family "Bacterial small subunit ribosomal RNA", at positions 917 to 1382 of the family's 1533-position model. The record is from RNAcentral.
GGGCCCGCACAAGCGGAGGAACAUGUGGUUUAAUUCGAUGAUACGCGAGGAACCUUACCCGGGCUUAAAUUGCAACUGAAUAAUUGAGAGAUCAGUUAGCUAGCAAUAGCAGUUGUGAAGGUGCUGCAUGGUUGUCGUCAGCUCGUGCCGUGAGGUGUCGGCUUAAGUGCCAUAACGAGCGCAACCCUUGUCGAUAGUUACUAACAGGUUAUGCUGAGGACUCUAUCGAGACUGCCAUCGUAAGAUGUGAGGAAGGUGGGGAUGACGUCAAAUCAGCACGGCCCUUACGUCCGGGGCUACACACGUGUUACAAUGGAGGGUACAGAAGGCAGCUACACGGCGACGUGAUGCUAAUCCCGAAAACCUUUCUCAGUUCGGAUCGAAGUCUGCAACCCGACUUCGUGAAGCUGGAUUCGCUAGUAAUCGCGCAUCAGCCAUGGCGCGGUGAAUACGUUCCCGGGCCUU